Molecule: ribosomal RNA, 497 nt
Filed under: uncultured bacterium
Lineage: Bacteria
Description: partial 16S ribosomal RNA
Rfam family: Bacterial small subunit ribosomal RNA
Source: RNAcentral
GACGAACGCUGGCGGCGUGCCUAAUACAUGCAAGUAGAACGCUGAAGCGAGGAGCUUGCUCUUCUUGGAUGAGUUGCGAACGGGUGAGUAACGCGUAGGUAACCUGCCUUGUAGCGGGGGAUAACUAUUGGAAACGAUAGCUAAUACCGCAUAACAAUGGAUGACACAUGUCAUUUAUUUGAAAGGGGCAAUUGCUCCACUACAAGAUGGACCUGCGUUGUAUUAGCUAGUAGGUGAGGUAACGGCUCACCUAGGCGACGAUACAUAGCCGACCUGAGAGGGUGAUCGGCCAAACUGGGACUGAGACACGGCCCAGACUCCUACGGGAGGCAGCAGUAGGGAAUCUUCGGCAAUGGGGGCAACCCUGACCGAGCAACGCCGCGUGAGGGAAGAAGGGUUUCGGAUCGUAAAGCUCGGUUGUAAGUCAAGAACGAGUGUGAGAGUGGAAAGUUCACACUGUGACGGUAGCUUACCAGAAAGGGACGGCUAACUACGUG